This is an RNA transcript of Salvia splendens (bonfire salvia), 1056 nucleotides long. RefSeq lists it as uncharacterized. The record is from RefSeq and is a predicted model, not a curated record. NCBI's taxonomy places the organism in Eukaryota, Viridiplantae, Streptophyta, Magnoliopsida, Lamiales, Lamiaceae. The transcript has 2 exons.
UAUGUAUCUGCAGUAUGCACCAAAAAGGUCAGCUAAGCUUCCGCAAUUUUAGGAGCCAGACACAUUGGUAUAAACAAUCACACAUAUUUCAAUUGUGAGUCAUGUUUCUCAAGUCAUUUCUCUUCACGAUUCACAUAUUUUACAGAUAAUUAAUUGCCUCGAAUAUAGUAGCCCUCUACUUGUGAACAAACUGCGUUUUAUUUUAUUUGAAUAAAAGACCCUACUAAGCAUGCAAGAGAUCCUACUUAACUCCAGCACUCAAGUAGCUUGAGUUAACAUCAAGAUUGCAGAGUAACGGUCCCCUAACCUUUUUAUAUAGUAAAUCAAAAACCAUUUCCAUUAUCCAAAAGUUGAGUAAUAAUCUGAAUAGUUUCUGUAAUCGACUAAUAAAUACUCCCAAGCCUUAGCCUUACACUUAUGUAUUUUCAGAAUCCUAUGAACUUACACAGUGCCUCUGCUGCAGCUCUAUCAUAGCUGCCCUUGCUGUCUACGACAACCUCUCCAUCUAUUCACAACUUUUGCACACUGAUGAGUCAAUAGCUCUUCAAGCCAAAAUCUCAUUACUGAAAUUAUGUUCAGAGUUGGACUUUUCUAUAUGAUUCAUUCACCAUUAUUAGAAAAAACGAUAGAAUACAUGACUUAAAUGGAUAUAUUUGUAUCCUUUCCAUGUCCAUUCUCCUCAACAUGCAUAAAAAAAGUUUAGGAAAUGCAGAAAAAAUGAACCAUCGAGCAUUAUUCCUUUUCCAACUCAUCUACAAUAACGUUGGUCGGUGGAAGCAGAAAUCUAUACAGAUGUUUUGCUAGAUGGUUCUACUUUUCAAGACAAACAGAAGAAGAAGGGAAUGCAAAACGAGAGAGAGAAGGGAAAAAGGAGCCAGUGUGAUCAUAAGUCAUAUCAGAACCCUUAUGUUAUUAGAAUCCUAAUCAGAGGACGGCAGGAGGAGGAGGAGUCGGUCUGAGAGAGUGGUGAAGUGCAACGGUAGCGGCAGCUGCGCUUUGACGCUACUGAUAAUUGUAGUUGUGAUGGUGGUGGAGGAAGUGGCGGCGAAGCCAAAG